Non-coding RNA from Pleurotus ostreatoroseus, 79 nucleotides. The record is from the annotation of a GenBank genome assembly. NCBI's taxonomy places the organism in Eukaryota, Fungi, Basidiomycota, Agaricomycetes, Agaricales, Pleurotaceae.
GGCCAUAUAGUGUAGUGGUUAUCACUUGGGAUUUUGACCUUGAAUUCCCAUAACCCAGGUUCGAACCCUGGUAUGGCCU